Molecule: long non-coding RNA, 421 nt
Filed under: Nicotiana benthamiana
Lineage: Eukaryota; Viridiplantae; Streptophyta; Magnoliopsida; Solanales; Solanaceae
Description: long non-coding RNA (NBEN_LNC040304)
Source: RNAcentral
AACAAAAAUACAGGUGUUUCAUCGAAAACUAACCGAACAAAAACCCUAGAUUUUGAGAAUCAACAGAAACUUGGAUGGAAAUCGAUGAGGGUAACAUCGAUCGAAAGCUGAUGACGAGGAGAACUAGAAUAUACCCGCUCUGAUACUAUGUCAACAAUCUAACUCAUCGGAUUGAAGAAAAUAAAGAAGAAGAAGAUGAACAGUAAAGAGGAAAGAGAAGAGAGAAAAUGAAUCUGAAUUUGCAUUGAUUGAACUGAGCUGUCUCGAACCUUCCGCCUGUGUAUAUACCAAAGCAUAAUAAAAUCUAAUGUGUGUGUGUAAUUACAAGUGUGUCCCUGACUUAUGUACAAAAUUAUACAACAAUUAAAUAGACCCACUACCCUUGGGCUGCUACUAACUCUUGGGCAGCUGAUAACUUGGG